This 255-nucleotide ribosomal RNA is filed under the name uncultured bacterium. RNAcentral describes it as "partial 16S ribosomal RNA". It matches the Rfam family "Bacterial small subunit ribosomal RNA", at positions 524 to 776 of the family's 1533-position model. The record is from RNAcentral.
UACGUAGGGUGCAAGCGUUAAUCGGAAUUACUGGGCGUAAAGCGUGCGCAGGCGGUUGUGCAAGACAGAUGUGAAAUCCCCGGGCUCAACCUGGGAACUGCAUUUGUGACUGCACGGCUGGAGUGCGGCAGAGGGGGAUGGAAUUCCGCGUGUAGCAGGUGAAAUGCGUAGAUAUGCGGAGGAACACCGAUGGCGAAGGCAAUCCCCUGGGCCUGCACUGGACGCUCAUGCACGAAGACGUGGGGAGCAAACAGG